Molecule: unclassified non-coding RNA, 328 nt
Filed under: soil metagenome
Description: partial contains 5.8S ribosomal RNA, internal transcribed spacer 2, and large subunit ribosomal RNA
Rfam family: 5.8S ribosomal RNA (bases 1-120)
Source: RNAcentral
GAUGAAGAACGUAGCGAAAUGCGAUAAGUAAUGUGAAUUGCAGAAUUCAGUGAAUCAUCGAAUCUUUGAACGCACAUUGCGCCCCUUGGUAUUCCGAGGGGCAUGCCUGUUCGAGCGUCAUUAUAACCCCUCAAGCUCAGCUUGGUGUUGGGGCCUGCCGCACGGGCAGCCCUUAAAAUCAGUGGCGGUGCCAUCUGGCUCUAAACGUAGUAAUUCUUCUCGCUAUAGAGUCACGGUGGAUGCUUGCCAUUAACCCCCAAUUUUCAAUGGUUGACCUCGGAUCAGGUAGGGAUACCCGCUGAACUUAAGCAUAUCAAUAAGCGGAGGA